GUUAAGGUCUUUAAACCCAAAGAAUUUGGCGGUAUCUCAUUCCAUUCAGAGGAACCUACCCCGUGAUUGAUAGUACACGAUUGACUUUACUUAAUUUAUUUGUUUGUAUAUCUCCGUUAUCAGAAUAUCUUUUUAGAGUUAUAAUUUUCUUGAUUUUUAAUUAAAAAGUAUUUCAGGUCAAGGUGCAGCUUAUGGUUAAGUGGAGGUGGGUUACAAUAAGUUCAUAUUUAUUACGGAUUUGAUGGUGAAAUACUGUUAAUGAAGGUGGAUUUGAUAGUAAUUUGGUUUAUUUAAUUUAAUUGAUAUUGGCUCUGAGGUGUGUACACAUCGCCCGU
Molecule: ribosomal RNA, 335 nt
Filed under: Sigaus australis
Lineage: Eukaryota; Metazoa; Arthropoda; Insecta; Orthoptera; Acrididae
Description: partial 12S ribosomal RNA
Rfam family: Microsporidia small subunit ribosomal RNA
Source: RNAcentral